This is a long non-coding RNA of Ananas comosus (pineapple), 1234 nucleotides long. RefSeq lists it as uncharacterized. The record is from RefSeq and is a predicted model, not a curated record. NCBI's taxonomy places the organism in Eukaryota, Viridiplantae, Streptophyta, Magnoliopsida, Poales, Bromeliaceae. The transcript is spliced from 2 exons.
GAGCGCCGCCGCGCGUCGGCGCCGCCGAUCGGCCGACGCGCGGCGAGGAUGGGAGCGCGCCGCCGCUGCUCAGCUUCGAGCGGGGCGGCGGAGGCGCCGAGGGGGCGAAUCCGCUCCUCCUACUCGGCGACGACGAAGAAGCCCUAGGAGACGCAGCAUCCGAUGGCGGAGACCUCCGCAUCGGGCUCGAUCUACGGUCGCCGUUGGCCGGAGCCACCUCUUUGCUCGUUCGCAGAGCCCUAAUAGGAGGUGAAGGUACCGGAGGAGUACUAGACCUCGCAGAUCCCACCGAAGAAGAAGGAGUCGGCGCCGAUGUCGGUGGACGAGGCCGAUCUCUGCGAUGAGUCGGCGUCUUCACCGGUGAGCUCACCUCAUCGCUACGACUCUUAGGGGUCGAGAAGAGAAUCUUCGAAGUUCUAUCCUUUUGCGUCGAGGGGUCUUCACCGUGUAUACGAACCAUCGGUCUACACCCCCCUUUACCAUCAAAAUUAGGGAUUGAUCUAAGAAUGAGGCAUUCUAAGACGAAGGGUGAAUCUUUCAAAGGCCAAUCAGAUACACUGUGUAGCUUUGGGACAUACUGUAGAUAUCUCAGAUAUGAAGGGUGCGGAUUCAAGGGAGAAUCUACACGGAGAAGCUCUUUUGGUGCUUGUCUAUAAGCCAUUUCCAACGUCCGCUCCUCCGAUAUGUAUACUUGUCUGUAAAGUAGCAAACUGGCGAGCAUGAACGCGAGCACGGGCCACCCGUGUCUCUCGCAGUGCAGUAGAAGCAUGUCGCGCUCACCCUCUGAAGAAAGCCAGUUGUCACUUGUUCUUAAGAAGUGGUGGAUUGUCUCGAGCGGAAGAAUAGGCCACCCUUCGUAUUGGCGGGGAUAGUCGACGAUUUUUACAUUGUAUUGGGAUAGGAUAUCCAAUAUUUGGAUUCUCCUAUCUCCUUCCAUUAAGUUGAGCACCAUGAAUGAGGAAUUUGGGUAGCAAUUCCUCAGUUGGAUAAUGAUGCUGGUCAUGUAAUCCCUGCACUCAUCUUCUCCCAUUGUUUUGGUGUUUAAGCAACAUUUGAAGACUGAGAACAAGAACAUCAUAGAUUUAAUGUAGCAUUUAAUAAAAGAAUCAUAUAAUAUUUUAUAAUUAAAGUUUCAGUUAUCGAAGGUUUUGUCCUUUUUUUUUUGUGAAAUGCUUGUUGUAUGUAUAAAAGGUGUCCAUAUAAAGCUUACUAUACUAGGAUCUGGUGAGUUAAA